UGUUUGCUGUGAUGAAUCACAAGGACGGUAUCUGAGUAGGUUGGCUGUUGAAAAGGCCACCUUCCUUGAUUACUCAUCCUAAACUGAUCAUAUAUUCUGAGCAAGCA
RNAcentral lists this small nucleolar RNA (107 nucleotides) under Hordeum vulgare subsp. vulgare (domesticated barley). RNAcentral's name for it is "Small nucleolar RNA Z118/Z121/Z120". It matches the Rfam family "Small nucleolar RNA Z118/Z121/Z120". From Rfam's summary of the family: This family consists of several snoRNA Z118, Z121 and Z120 sequences which are members of the C/D class of snoRNA which contain the C (UGAUGA) and D (CUGA) box motifs. This family seems to be found exclusively in rice. Lineage: Eukaryota; Viridiplantae; Streptophyta; Magnoliopsida; Poales; Poaceae. The record is from Rfam by way of RNAcentral.